UACGUAGGUGGCAAGCGUUGUCCGGAUUUACUGGGCGUAAAGAGCGCGCAGGCGGUCGUCUAAGUCGAAUGUGAAAGCCCCCGGCUCAACUGGGGAGGGUCAUUCGAUACUGUUCGACUCGAAGGCAGGAGAGGGAAGUGGAAUUCCGGGUGUAGUGGUGAAAUGCGUAGAUAUCGGGAGGAACACCAGUGGCGAAGGCGGCUUUCUGGUCUGCUCUUGACGCUGAGGCGCGAAAGCUAGGGUAGCAAACGGG
This 253-nucleotide ribosomal RNA is filed under the name uncultured bacterium. Its description in RNAcentral is "partial 16S ribosomal RNA". It matches the Rfam family "Bacterial small subunit ribosomal RNA", at positions 524 to 776 of the family's 1533-position model. The record is from RNAcentral.